This 783-nucleotide non-coding RNA is filed under the name Danaus chrysippus (African queen). The record is from RNAcentral. Lineage: Eukaryota; Metazoa; Arthropoda; Insecta; Lepidoptera; Nymphalidae.
GAAAUAAAUAAAUAAUUAUGUUUAGGGGAAUUUAUUAAAGGUUUAUUUUAUAUAUAAAUUUUAGUAGUAAUUUUUUAUUAUUUUAAUAAUAAUAAUUAUAAUAAAAUGUAGUAAAUAAAAUUAAAAAUUUAAGAAAUUAAGAUUUAGUAAUACAAAAAUUAGUAACAAAUUUUGUGCCAGCAGUUGCGGUUAUACAAAAAUUAAAUUAAAUUAUUUCAGUUUAUAAAAAAUAAUUUUUUUAAAAAAUAAAUAUUAAAUUAUUAGGUAAAAUUUUAAUUUAAUUAAAUUUUAUUUGAAAAUUAUGUUUUAAUAAAUUUUAAUAUAAACUAGGAUUAGAUACCCUAUUAUUAAAAAUUUAAAUUAUAAUACUAAAAUAGUAGAUAAUUAUUUAUUGAAACUUAAAUAAUAUGGCGGUAUUUUAGUUCAUUUAGGGGAAUCUGUUUAAUAAUUGAUAAUCCACGAAUAAAUUUACUUAAUUUAUAAAAUUUUAUAUAUCGUUGUUAAAAAAAUAUUUUUAAUUAAUUUAUAAUAUUUAAAAAUUAAAAUAAAAAUUAAUUCAGAUCAAGAUGUAGAUUAUAAUUAAGAAUAUAAUGGAUUACAAUAAAUUUAUUUAAAUGAAUAUGAAAUUGAAAAAUUUUAUUGAAGGUGGAUUUAAAUGUAAUUUUAUUUAGUUUAUUAAAAUGAUUUAAAAUUAAAAUAUGUACAUAUUGCCCGUCACUUUCAUUUUAAAAUUGGAAUAAGUCGUAACAAAGUAGAGGUACUGGAAAGUGUUUCUAGAAAGAU